Betta splendens (Siamese fighting fish) is the source of this 807-nucleotide long non-coding RNA. RefSeq lists it as uncharacterized. The record is from RefSeq and is a predicted model, not a curated record. The transcript has 2 exons. NCBI's taxonomy places the organism in Eukaryota, Metazoa, Chordata, Actinopteri, Anabantiformes, Osphronemidae.
UCCAGUUUGGAGGAAGGCGAGUGAGAUGCUGAGGACAGACGCCGUGUGAUUGAUGUCUGCUGGAAGGAAAAUUGAAUUCUUCAGCUGCAGUCCAGGACCCUGCAGGAAGCCAAGCGUGCCGCCGUUCAUUAUCCUUCUAACACUGGGAAGUUACGGCUGGGCCAGGCUACUUGAUACCACCACAGGAUCUGCUUGAAGGUAUGGAAAGAGAGCAGCUGGCAGCAGGGAUCAGGAAGAAAGGCAACGCUACAGACAGAGGACAUACCUCGCUCCCACACCCAGACUCACUCUUGGCUCCAAACACACGUAUCGUAGAUGUAAUAUAACGACGUAUAAUCCAGAAUAUAAUUCUAGACAGAUGGUCGGCUGUGCAAGCUGCAGCCGAUAUGGGGGGAAGCUGCUCAUAACUGCUUUGUGCUUUUGGCAGUGCUUGUUUAGGUUUGGCCGGCUAAUUUCUGCUUAACGCUGGCUUAUUAUUUUGAACACACAAGGUACUGCACAAUAAUUGUCAGAAAAAUGUCCAGGAGCUUCACAUCAUUCUGUUUUAUGGGACGGUGUUUCAUAUCGGCACAAGACAAUGGAUUUGCUGGGUGUAAUUCACCACGGGUUCGAUUUCCACAGCGCUAAUUAAGUGCCAUGGAUGAAAUAUACUGGAACAAAAAACAACCCAAAUGUUUGGAUGUGCUGCGCCUGCACUGAUUCCAGGUACUGUACCGAACCAAACAACUAACAACCUAUGAGGGACGCAGGUACGAAGGAAAGUCGCCAUAUCUGCAGAGCACACAAAUUUAAGAGGAUCUGUAUCAU